UAUCCCCAUUCCUUGUAGACAUGGUAGAAGAGGAGCUUCCUCUGAUCUGGGAGUAUCCCCAUUCCUUGUAGACAUGGUAGAAGAGGAGCUUCCUCUGCUUUUAAUUUAACUGGAGGCUUGCCAAAUAAAAUGUAGACCCUGAAGAGAUAUUGUAGGUUUAGCUAAGCAACAAAUGGAACCCUAUUCCCUAUAUAGCGCACUACUAUUGACCAGAGCUCUAUGUCAAAAGUUGCGCACUAUAUAGGGAAUAGGGCUCUGGUCUAUAGUAGUGCACUAUAUAGCGAAUAGGGCUCUGGUCUAUAGUAGUGCACUAUAUAGGGCAGAGGGCUCCAUUUCAGACGCUGCCAUAGUCUUCAGUGUGCAGGUUGCUCUCCAGUUCAGUGGUUGGCUCACUGUCUCUAGAACAUAAAGGCUAUGAGAUGUUUUAAGACCUCACCAAAAUAAAGACACGUCUUGUUAUUAAAGUACACAAAAAGAAAAAUAAUAACUCUCUGAUGUCCUACUGUACCCAUAACAACGUAAUCAUUCUAAAGGCUGAGUGUUAAAAGUAUUAGGAAUACGAUGUGCCAAACAAAUUGUGACCAAGGGAGAAUGGUUCAGCCUGAAAUGUACUGCACAGGGCAUCUUUAACUGGGGAGCCUAAUGCUUCGGUCUCUUUCACUGUCCUGUUUCACUGUCUCUGUGUUGCAGUGUGUUUCAGCUUGGUAUUUCUGUGAUCACACCCCUCUCCAACACAUUCCUACUACGGGCUAGGUUCACGUUGAUAUGCAGUUGACAUGGAUUAAUCUUGAAAUCCAUGAGCCUGAAUCUAGAUUCUAACAGUCUGCAUCUUGUCAAAAAGUCUGAAGACACUCAAUCUCACCCUACCCACUAACCCAGUCACCCUACCCAAUAACCCAGUCACCCUACCCAAUAACCCAGUCACCCUACCCACUAACCCAGUCACCCUACCCAAUAACCCAGUCACCCUACCCAAUAACCCAGUUAGUUACCCUACCCACUAACCCAGUUAGUUACCCUACCCAAUAACCCAGUUAGUUACCCUACCCACUAACCCAGUUACCCUACCCACUAACCCAGUUAGUUACCCUACCCACUAACCCAGUCACCCUACCCACUAACCCAGUCACCCUACCCAAUAACCCAGUCACCCUACCCACUAACCCAGUCACCCUACCCAAUAACCCAGUCACCCUACCCACUAACCCAGUUAGUUACCCUACCCAAUAACCCAGUUAGUUACCCUACCCACUAACCCAGUCACCCUACCCAAUAACCCAGUUAGUUACCCUACCCACUAACCCAGUUAGUUACCCUACCCACUAACCCAGUUAGUUACCCUACCCAAUAACCCAGUUAGUUACCCUACCCACUAACCCUGUUACCCUACCCACUAACCCAGUUAGUUACCCUACCCACUAACCCAGUCACCCUACCCAAUAACCCAGUUAGUUACCCUACCCACUAACCCAGUCACCCUACCCAAUAACCCAGUUAGUUACCCUACCCACUAACCCAGUUAGUUACCCUACCCACUAACCCAGUUAGUUACCCUACCCAAUAACCCAGUUAGUUACCCUACCCACUAACCCUGUUACCCUACCCACUAACCCAGUUAGUUACCCUACCCACUAACCCAGUCACCCUACCCAAUAACCCAGUUAGUUACCCUACCCACUAACCCAGUUAGUUACCCUACCCACUAACCCAGUUAGUUACCCUACCCAAUAACCCAGUUAGUUACCCUACCCACUAACCCAGUUAGUUACCCUACCCACUAACCCAGUUAGUUACCCUACCCAAUAACCCAGUUAGUUACCCUACCCACUAACCCUGUUACCCUACCCACUAACCCAGUUAGUUACCCUACCCACUAACCCUGUUACCCUACCCACUAACCCAGUUAGUUACCCUACCCAAUAACCCAGUCACCCUACCCAAUAAUUAUUUUCUGUAGAUGCAUCUCAAUCCAUGUCACACUUCCACAUCUCACAAAUACAUACAUGUAGGUUGUUUUGCUCUAAGACGCCCAUUGUCCUCACAAGACUCAUCUGAUGGUCCCUGGUACCAGUUGAAAACAUUUAUGGAAGUCUAUAUGGAGACUGUUUAGUGCUAAAAAAAAUGGUUAAGUACAUGUAAAAUCAAAUAAAAAUGUUUCCUGAUCUUUCUUAUAUCUCUCAGAUUUAUGACAGACACAAACUUCCUUUAGAUUAUUUUGGGGGAGACUAUCUGUUGUUCCAUAUAGUGAAUCUGUUAUUCAAUGUGUUUGUAUGGGCCAUUAGCAGUAAGGCCCAAAAUAUGUUUUUUUACGUAUAUUUCUGGAAUCCUUCAAGGGGUCUUAAAAUAUAAAAUACAAUAGCUAAUUGAUCCUUUGUAUGACCUUCUUAAACAAUUCCUUAUAGCUUAGUAGAACCCCCCCCUCCCCUGGCUUUAGACUCUAGGUUAAUCAACGUUUCAGUAAAAGUGACGGUUUUAGCCAACCGGCUCAUUUUCAACUGCAUUGUCUGGGCAAGUUAUUCAAAACAACUCCAAUAAAAAUACAAACAAACAAGGAACAGUCUUGUGCAGUCGGCUGUUGUUUUGUUGUGUCCUAUGUCGAGUCUUUUUCUUCAAGAUUGAACCCACAAUAAUUCUAUCAUUCUGUAAGGUGAUGCCCGUCCACCCCCACACCAUCACACAACACAUCGCAACCAUCACACAACACAUCGCAACCAUUACACAACACAUCACAACAUCACACAACACAUCGCAACCAUCACACAACACAUCACAACCAUCACACAACACAUCACAACCAUCACACAACACAUCGCAACCAUCACACAACACAUCGCAACCAUCACACAACACAUCGCAACCAUCACACAACACAUCGCAACCAUCACACAACACAUCACAACCACCACACAACACAUUGCAACCAUCACACAACACAUCACAACAUCACACAACACAUCACAACCAUCACACAACACAUUGCAACCACCACACAACACAUCGCAACCAUCACACAACACAUCGCAACAUCACACAACACAUCACAACAUCACACAACACAUCACAACCAUCACACAACACAUCGCAACCAUCACACAACAUAUCACAACCAUCACACAACACAUCGCAACCAUCACACAACACAUCACAACCAUCACA
Molecule: long non-coding RNA, 3156 nt
Organism: Oncorhynchus tshawytscha (Chinook salmon)
Lineage: Eukaryota; Metazoa; Chordata; Actinopteri; Salmoniformes; Salmonidae
Source: Ensembl